CAAGUAUGGGGACAUCACAGAAGUCAUGGUCAUGAAAGAUCCCACCACGCGACGAUCAAGGGGCUUUGGAUUCAUCACGUUCGCAGAUCCCUCGAGUGUAGACAAAGUGCUGGCACAGGGUAAUCACGAGUUAGACGGCAAGAAAAUCGACCCGAAAGUAGCGUUUCCCAGGAGAACACAUCCGAAG
This is a long non-coding RNA of Habropoda laboriosa, 187 nucleotides long. RefSeq lists it as uncharacterized. NCBI's taxonomy places the organism in Eukaryota, Metazoa, Arthropoda, Insecta, Hymenoptera, Apidae. The transcript is spliced from 3 exons. The record is from RefSeq and is a predicted model, not a curated record.